This 1811-nucleotide long non-coding RNA is filed under the name Nicotiana tabacum (common tobacco). RNAcentral describes it as "long non-coding RNA (NTAB_LNC018210)". Lineage: Eukaryota; Viridiplantae; Streptophyta; Magnoliopsida; Solanales; Solanaceae. The record is from RNAcentral.
GCCCGACCAAUUACCACUCGCAAUCCCUUCUUAUUAGAAUUCAUUACCAAUUUUCAGAAAUAGAUACCAAUUUAAUAUAAGUAGAAGUCUGAAAUAAAAGAUUGAGAUAUGCGGAAAGCCAUAAUGAAAUCUCUACAAAUGCCUAAUGAUCUGGUGUCACAAGUUUGAGCCUCUAAUACAAGGUUUCAACAGCCCAAUGCAGAAAUAUGUCUAAAAUGCGGAAUAGUAAAGAAAGUUAGAGGGAGAAAUCGGGUCUGCGGACUCCGUGCAGCUACCUCUAUAACUCCGAUGAAAAACUGAACGGCAGGAAAGCUCGCUCUACACCUCAGGGACACUUGUACCUGCACACACGGUGCAGGGAGUAAUGUGAGUACUCCGACCCAGUGAGUAAUAACAAUAAAUAAUGGCUGACGGUAUGAAAUUAUGUAAAGGCACUAAGCAGUUCUAUAUCAAAGUAGUAAAACCAUUUAAAGAGCAAGUAGUAAAGAAAAUUGAAUGAAACUCUUUGAGCCAGGUGAAAACAGGUAGUUUGACAGGCAUUAAUCCAGUAUAAAUCCGUUCCUCGAGCAUUUCUGUUCAUUUACUUAUUUCUUACCCUCAAUACUCAAUUCAUAUACUUCUCACAAUAACUGAAAUCGAAACAUAUAUAUAUACCGCUGCGACGUGCAGCCUGAUCCGUAUAUCAUUGUGGCGCACAUCCCGAUCCAUAAUAAUAAUGGUCAACUGCGCUCACUAGGGGUGUGCAGACUACAGAGGGGCUCCUACAGCCCAAGCACUAUAUUGAUGCGGCAUGCAGCCCGAUUCAUAUAUAUAUAUAUUUACAUAUUUGUUGCGGCGCGCAAUCCGGUCCAUAUAAGUAUUUGUUGCGGCGUGCAGCCCGAUCCAAUAUCAUAUAUAAUAUCCUCACUAUUGGGUCCUCAACCCCUCUCAGUCAUUAUAUUCACAGCCUCUCGGGCACAAUAAUAUAAGGUAGGGAUCUCAGCCCACAUAUUUCUUUCAUUUAUGAUUAACAUUUCAUAACCUGGUUCAUUUCAUUUUUAAACAAUUAGAAACAUGAUUGAGGAUGUGAUUUUUAGCAAAUAAGUGAGGAAAACCAGUCAAAAAUCCCAUAACGGUUCUACAAGUCGGCACAAGUCCCCAAACAUGGCAACUAGCCGAAGUCAUGAUGACAAUACAUAAGUCUCAAUAAAAAUGUAGUGAAAAUAUCAAUUGGGAUGGACCAAGUCACAAUCCCCAGUAGCAAUGAACCCCACGCUCAUCACGCAGCGUGUGUCUCAUCUCAGUAUAGCACUACGUUGUGCAAAAUUCGGGGUUUUAAACCCUUAGGACAUCAUUUAAAGUCAUUACUCACCUCAAACCGGCCAAAGCUCUAGCUCGCUAUGCUCUUGCCUCUCAAAUCGGCCUCCUCACGCGUCGAAUCUGACCAAAACCAGAACGAAUAUGUCACAAUAUGCUAAGGGAACAAAAUCCAAUCGAAAACAAUCAAAAAUAUCAAAAAUCCCGAAAUUAGCAAAACUCGAGCCCCGGGCCCACUUCUUGAAAUUCAGAAAUUUUUACAUCAACGGGUUCCUUAUCUCUCCACGAGUUCAUACAUACCAAAAGUUCUCAAAUCCGACCCCAAAUGGUCCUCCAAAUCCCCAAUAAAAAUCUCAAAAUCCCAAGCCCUAUUUCUUCUAUUUUUAGCAAGAAUUCAAUGAUUUUCUAGGUGGAUCUCACAAUAUAAAUGAGUUUUAGGUCCGAAAUUCUUACCUCCAAAUGUUUCUCCUUGAAUCCCUCUUCAAUCUCCUUCAAAAAGCUCUCAAAAUGAUCAA